Molecule: unclassified non-coding RNA, 2734 nt
Filed under: Polistes canadensis
Lineage: Eukaryota; Metazoa; Arthropoda; Insecta; Hymenoptera; Vespidae
Description: intraflagellar transport protein 80 homolog, transcript variant X2
Source: RNAcentral
UUUAAUUUCAUUGAUUUCAAAUUUAUUGUAUGCAUUUUUAAAGAAUUUAUUGAUUAGUUAUUAAAGGCAGAUUAUUCGACAAAUUGGAAAGAAUAACAAAAGCUAACGUUGUUUCGAAUGUUUACUUAAAUUUCAAAUAAUUGCGGUUAUUUUGACCAAUUUUAAAGGAUUGAAAAAAUAUUGAAAUAUUUGAAAUUCUUCUAAAACGUAUUGUGUAUACGUUAGCAUACAAAUAUAUAUUAUACGAUAACUAUUUGUUGCGAUUUAUAAUUAUUAUUAUCAUCACUAUGGUAACAAGAAGGAAAAUAAAUCACAUUUACUUGCCUUUGCACUUAUUACCACAAAACUUGUACAUUUUCGUACAACGACAUAUCAAACAUUGUAUACUUAGAAUAAUAUGAAUUAUUAUUACAUUCUCUAAAUUGAGUAUCGUCAUUUGGAUAUAUUGACACAUGUACAAUGAGAUUUAAAAUAUCUGUGCAAAGUAGUAGUGGUCACAAAAAUUUAGUAACAUGUGUAGCUUGGAGUUCAGCGGAGGAAAUAUUUUCUUGUGGAGAGGAUCAUUUACUGAUAUGUUGGUAUUUAGAAAGUGGAAAUACACAUUCAACGGUCAUUACAGAGUUUCCAUUAGACUUUUUUCCUACUUCGAUGCAAUGGCAUCCACGUCCUAAUCAUUUGGUAACAGCCAGUAAAAAGCAAUCAUUAGAUGUACUUUUAAUCACUACAGCCGAUGGAAGGUUUCAUCUAGUUAGUAAAAAUGGUCGUAUUGAAAAAAGUAUUGAAGCUCAUAAAGGUGCUGUAACUAUUGGCAAAUGGAAUACAGAUGGUUCCGUAUUACUUACAGCUGGAGAGGAUGGUUUAAUAAAAGUUUGGUCACGCAAUGGUAUGCUUCGUUCUGUAAUAGUCAGAGGCAACUCAUCUAUUUUAACAUCGGACUGGAGUCCAGAUUGUUCUAAAAUAUUGUAUUCGCAAGGAGGACAUUUAUUUUUUCAAUCACUCAAUUCAAAUUCAAAACCAUACAAGUGGUAUGCUCAUGAAGGUCUUGUCUUGACUGUUUGUUGGAAUCAUAGUCAUGGAUUCAUUAUUUCGGGUGGAGAAGAUUGUCGAUAUAAAGUUUGGGAUUCUAAUGGUAAUCAAAUCUAUAGUAGUAGCUCCGGCGAUUAUCCCAUUACAGCAGUUAAUUGCUGCAGUUCAGGCGAUUAUUUUGCUAUUGGAUCUUUCAACAUGAUUAAACUUUGCGAUAGAACAGGAUGGUCUCAUUCCUUAGAAAGAAUUAAUGCUGGGAGUGUAUACAGUAUAGCAUGGUCUAGUGAUGGCACUCAGGUGGCUAUGACUUGUGGAAGCAAUGUUUUAACUGGCCAUGUCAUAGGCAAAAGACUCGAAUGGAAUAAUUACGAAGCUACUUUAAUUAAAAAGGAAAUAUUAGAAAUUAGAGAAGUCGGCAAUGAAGUUCACGAAACAAUAGAAAUAUCAGAUCGUGUAGUUCAAUUGGCAUUUGGUUUUGAUCAUUUAAUUGUAAUCACACCGGUUCAAUGUCACAUUUACUCUGUCACAAAUUGGAAUACUCCUGCAAUAUUUGAUUUGAAAAGUAGUUCUGUGUCGGCAGUUGUUCUUGCAAACAAACACUUUUUAUUAAUGGAAUGGAAUUCUAUAACGUUGUACAAUUACCAAGGCCGUUUAUUAGGUGUACCUAAAUGGAAGGGUAUGACACAGGAACCCCUUUAUCCACCUUGCAUAUCCUUGUGUUUCGAUACUCUUGUUGUAAGAGAUCAGAAAAAUGAGAAAUUACUACAUGUUUUAGAAAUAUCAUAUAACAAGCCAAUUGUUGAAAGUCAGUCGCAUACUCAUCCUCAGUAUAUUACUCAAUUGGCAUUAAACCAUAUUGGAAGUUCUAGCGAUCGACAAUUAGCCCUCAUUGAUAUAACUAAAGAUUUAUAUUUAAUUUCCAUAAGAGCAACAGGUUAUAGACGAGCUUGUAAAAUAGCUGCUAUGGCACAAAAUAUGACGUGGGCUAUUGACGCAAAUGUAUUAGCAGCUAUGUUGGAUGCCACUUUAUCCGUAUGGUUAUGUCCUAAUUGUGUACAUUAUAGCGAUCGUAAGAUUGUACGACGAACUAGAAUUGAUAAAGAGAGCAGUGAAUUUGGAAAACAACCAACUAUUAUCAGCGUUUACAAUGGUAUGGUCAAUGUAAGACGCGGAGAUGGUGCUUUAGUUUCAUCCCAGUUUUACACUUUUUUUACAAGUUUGCAUCAGCUCAUAUUACACAAAAAAUGGAAAGAAUCUCUUUCGCUUUGUCGGAUUGCACAAAAUGAGAUAUUGUGGACAUGCAUGGCUAUUAUGGCAACAGAUAAUAAAGAGUUGAAUGUUGCAGAAGAAGCAUAUGCAGCCAUUAGAAGAUACGAUAAAGUUCAUUAUGUUCGAUAUAUUAAAGUGAUUAUUAUAAAUGAAUUUGUCCAAAAUGACAGAAAGAUAUGCAGAAAUGGCAUUAUUAUCUGGUGAUUUGUUAGCAGCGGAAGGUAUACUUUUACAAAAUGGGUUAAUCGAAGAAGCCAUUAAAUUAAAUAUCAAAGUUUACAAUUGGAACAGGGCACUUGAACUUGCCAUAAGGCAUAAGAAACAAAUAGAAGAAGUUUUAAAUGCAAGAAAAGAUUAUUUAAAAACAUUAAAGAAAGAAGAAACAAAUUCAAGCUACAUUGCUGCGAUAAAUAAUAUAUCGUCAUCUUUGGUACAACAG